Molecule: ribosomal RNA, 1468 nt
Filed under: Mesomycoplasma hyorhinis
Lineage: Bacteria; Bacillati; Mycoplasmatota; Mycoplasmoidales; Metamycoplasmataceae
Description: 16S ribosomal RNA
Rfam family: Bacterial small subunit ribosomal RNA
Source: RNAcentral
CUCGCUGUGUGCCUAAUACAUGCAUGUUGAACGGGAUGUAGCAAUACAUUCAGUAGCGAAUGGGUGAGUAACACGUACCUAACCUACCUUUAAGACUGGGAUAACUAUUGGAAACAAUAGCUAAUACCGGAUAUAGUUAUUUAUCGCAUGAUGAGUAAUAGAAAGGAGCUUCACAGCUUCACUUAAAAAUGGGGGUGCGGAACAUUAGUUAGUUGGUAGGGUAAUGGCCUACCAAGACGAUGAUGUUUAGCCGGGCCGAGAGGCUGUACGGCCACACUGGGACUGAGAUACGGCCCAGACUCCUACGGGAGGCAGCAGUAAGGAAUUUUCCACAAUGAGCGAAAGCUUGAUGGAGCGACACAGCGUGCAGGAUGAAGUUCUUCGGAAUGUAAACUGCUGUUAUAAGGGAAGAAAAAAUAGAAUAGGAAAUGAUUUUAUCUUGACGGUACCUUAUUAGAAAGCGACGGCAAACUAUGUGCCAGCAGCCGCGGUAAUACAUAGGUCGCAAGCGUUAUCCGGAAUUAUUGGGCGUAAAGCGUCCGUAGGUUUUUUGCUAAGUCUGGAGUUAAAUGCUGAAGCUCAACUUCAGUCCGCUUUGGAUACUGGCAAAAUAGAAUUAUAAAGAGGUUAGCGGAAUUCCUAGUGAAGCGGUGGAAUGCGUAGAUAUUAGGAAGAACACCAAUAGGCGAAGGCAGCUAACUGGUUAUAUAUUGACACUAAGGGACGAAAGCGUGGGGAGCAAACAGGAUUAGAUACCCUGGUAGUCCACGCCGUAAACGAUGAUCAUUAGUUGGUGGAAUAAUUUCACUAACGCAGCUAACGCGUUAAAUGAUCCGCCUGAGUAGUAUGCUCGCAAGAGUGAAACUUAAAGGAAUUGACGGGAACCCGCACAAGCGGUGGAGCAUGUGGUUUAAUUUGAAGAUACGCGUAGAACCUUACCCACUCUUGACAUCUUCUGCAAAGCUAUAGAGAUAUAGUGGAGGUUAACAGAAUGACAGAUGGUGCAUGGUUGUCGUCAGCUCGUGUCGUGAGAUGUUAGGUUAAGUCCUGCAACGAGCGCAACCCUUUUCUUUAGUUACUAAUAUUAAGUUAAGGACUCUAGAGAUACUGCCUGGGUAACCAGGAGGAAGGUGGGGACGACGUCAAAUCAUCAUGCCUCUUACGAGUGGGGCAACACACGUGCUACAAUGGUCGGUACAAAGAGAAGCAAUAUGGUGACAUGGAGCAAAUCUCAAAAAACCGAUCUCAGUUCGGAUUGAAGUCUGCAACUCGACUUCAUGAAGUCGGAAUCGCUAGUAAUCGUAGAUCAGCUACGCUACGGUGAAUACGUUCUCGGGUUUUGUACACACCGCCCGUCACACCAUGGGAGUUGGUAAUGCCCAAAGUCGGUGAGUUAACUUCGGAGACCAUUGCCUAAGGCAGGACUGAUGACUGGGGUGAAGUCGUAACAAGGUAUCCCUACGAGAAC